GCGUGGGGAGCAAACAGGAUUAGAUCCCCUGGUAGUCCACGCCGUAAACGAUGAAUACUAGGUGUAGGGGUUGUCAUGACCUCUGUGCCGCCGCUAACGCAUUAAGUAUUCCGCCUGGGGAGUACGGUCGCAAGAUUAAAACUCAAAGGAAUUGACGGGGACCCGCACAAGCAGCGGAGCAUGUGGUUUAAUUAGAAGCAACGCGAAGAACCUUACCUAGACUUGACCUCUCCUGAAUUACCCUUAAUCGGGGAAGCCCUUCGGGGCAGGAAGACAGGUGGUGCAUGGUUGUCGUCAGCUCGUGUCGUGAGAUGUUGGGUUAAGUCCCGCAACGAGCGCAACCCUUAUUGUUAGUUGCUACCAUUUAGUUGAGCACUCUAGCGAGACUGCCCGGGUUAACCGGGAGGAAGGUGGGGAUGACGUCAAAUCAUCAUGCCCCUUAUGUCUAGGGCUACACACGUGCUACAAUGGCUGGUACAGAGAGAUGCUAAACCGUGAGGUGGAGCCAAACUUUAAAACCAGUCUCAGUUCGGAUUGUAGGCUGAAACUCGCCUACAUGAAGCUGGAGUUGCUAGUAAUCGCGAAUCAGAAUGUCGCGGUGAAUACGUUCCCGGGCCUUGUACACACCGCCCGUCACACCAUGAGAGUUGGCAAUACCCAAAGUUCGUGAGCUAACGCGCAAGCGAGGCAGCGACCUAAGGUAGGGUCAGCG
RNAcentral lists this ribosomal RNA (712 nucleotides) under Clostridium beijerinckii. Its description in RNAcentral is "bacterial SSU rRNA". It matches the Rfam family "Bacterial small subunit ribosomal RNA", at positions 759 to 1473 of the family's 1533-position model. The record is from RNAcentral. Lineage: Bacteria; Bacillati; Bacillota; Clostridia; Eubacteriales; Clostridiaceae.